AACUCGGGCUAAUACCGCAUAAUCUCUUCGGAGGAAAGGGGGCCUCUACAUGUAAGCUCUCGCUAAUGGAUGAGCCCAAGUCAGAUUAGCUUGUUGGUAAGGUAACGGCUUACCAAGGCUACGAUCUGUAGCUGGUCUGAGAGGAUGAUCAGCCACACUGGGACUGAGACACGGCCCAGACUCCUACGGGAGGCAGCAGUGGGGAAUAUUGCACAAUGGGCGAAAGCCUGAUGCAGCAAUGCCGCGUGUGUGAAGAAGGCUCUAUGGUUGUAAAGCACUUUCAAUAAGGAAGAAAGGUAUAAAGUUAAUAACU
This 313-nucleotide ribosomal RNA is filed under the name uncultured Gammaproteobacteria bacterium. RNAcentral describes it as "bacterial SSU rRNA". It matches the Rfam family "Bacterial small subunit ribosomal RNA", at positions 155 to 470 of the family's 1533-position model. Lineage: Bacteria; Pseudomonadati; Pseudomonadota; Gammaproteobacteria. The record is from RNAcentral.